AAGUCGUAACAAGGUUUCCGUAGGUGAACCUGCGGAAGGAUCAUUAAAGAGACGAGGGUCUAACCGGCCCGAACCUCCACCCUGUGUCUACCUCACUCUGUUGCUCUGGCGGGACGCUGCAAAUGUGUGCCCGCCAGAGGAUUAUCAACUCUGAUGUUACCGUGCAGUCUGAGUCAUUAUGAAUAAAACAAAACUUUCAACAACGGAUCUCUUGGUUCUGGCAUCGAUGAAGAACGCAGCGAAAUGCGAUAAGUAAUGUGAAUUGCAGAAUUCAGUGAAUCAUCGAGUUUUUGAACGCACAUUGCGCCCUCUGGUAUUCCGGAGGGCAUGCCUGUUCGAGCGUCAUUAUCCAACUCAAGCAUUGCGCUUGGUCUUGGGAGUCAGCCUGGCCGAAAAGGGCUCUCCCGAAAAUGAGUGGUUGCAGAAAUGAACCCUGAGCGUAUUAACAUGACUCGCUUUUUGGGAACACUUUGUGCCAUCCAACGAAACGCGCUUUUGACCUCAAAGAUUAAAAGCCCCGAAAUGAUUGACCUCGGAUCAGGUAGGGAUACCCGCUGAACUUAAGCAUAUCAAUAAGCGGAGGAAAAGAAACCAACAGGGAUUGCCUCAGUAACGGCGAGUGAAGCGGCAAGUGCUCAAAUUUGAAAUCCGGCUUUGGCCUGAGUUGUAAUUUGGAGAGGAUGCUUCGGAAGCGGUCCAGUCUAAGUUCCUUGGAACAGGACGUCAUAGAGGGUGAGAAUCCCGUAUGUGACUGGGUGCCAACUCCAUGUGAAGCUCCUUCGACGAGUCGAGUUGUUUGGGAAUGCAGCUCAAAAUGGGUGGUAAAUUUCAUCUAAAGCUAAAUACCGGCCAGAGACCGAUAGCGCACAAGUAGAGUGAUCGAAAGAUGAAAAGCACUUUGGAAAGAGAGUUAAACAGUACGUGAAAUUGUUGAAAGGGAAGCGCUUGCCAUCAGACUUGCCUGGGGGUGAUCAACCGUCCUUCGGGGCGGUGCACUGGCCCCCGGUCAGGCCAGCAUCGGUUUUGGCGGUUGGACAAAUUCCCAGGGAAUGUGGCUCUUCGGAGUGUUAUAGCCCUGGAAUCAAUACAACCCGCCGGGACCGAGGACCGCGCUUCGGCUAGGAUGCUGGCGUAAUGAUUGCAAGCGACC
This 1150-nucleotide ribosomal RNA is filed under the name uncultured fungus. RNAcentral describes it as "eukaryotic LSU rRNA". The stretch from base 528 to 1150 matches the Rfam family "Eukaryotic large subunit ribosomal RNA", at positions 1 to 649 of the family's 3401-position model. The record is from RNAcentral. Lineage: Eukaryota; Fungi.